AACGAACGCUGGCGGCAUGCCUAACACAUGCAAGUCGAACGAGACCUUCGGGUUUAGUGGUGCAUGGGUGCGUAAAGCGUGGGAACCUGCCCUUGGGUUUGGAAUAACUUCCCGAAAGGGGUGCUAAUACCGGCUAUUGUAUUCGGUCCAAAGUUUUAUCGCGUUUGGAUGGGCCUCGGUUGGAUUAGUUUGUUGGUAGGGUAAAUGCGUACCAAGGGUAGGUUCCAUAGCUGGUCUGCGAGGAAAGUCAGCCACACUGGGAUUGAGACACGGCCCAGACUCCUACAGGAAGCGGCAGUGGGUAAUACUGGACAGUGGGCUGUAGGCUGAUCCAGCAAUGCCGCGAAAGUGAUGAAAGUCUUAGGGUAGUAAAGCUCUUUUACCCGUUAUUAUAAUGACGGUACCAAGAGAAUAAGCACCGGCUAACUUCGUG
Molecule: ribosomal RNA, 433 nt
Filed under: uncultured bacterium
Lineage: Bacteria
Description: partial 16S ribosomal RNA
Rfam family: Bacterial small subunit ribosomal RNA
Source: RNAcentral